UUAAUAUAAGAUAUUGCUCUGCUUUACAAUUUUCAAGUUGCGUCUAUCAGCAUUUAGCGGAAGAAAUAUCACAAAAAAUGAUCUUGCUUAGUAAUUUUGAAUGUAGUGAAUAUGUAUAUAUUCCUCUUAUUCACAAUUAGAUGGAUUUCAAUAGCUCGUUUAUAUCGAUUGGAUGUGAGCAAACCACUAAAUCAAAUUUUGACGACUUAAGUAGCAAACUGGAUAGUCUGGAUAAGAAGGUAGACGAUUUGUUAAAAGAAUAUCAUACAACUCAAAAGCUUCUGAAGAGAGUAUUGGAAGAAGUUAAAUCGACCUCACAUAAUGCUACAAAAAAAAAUAAAUAAAAUUUUGCUACAAAAACCUUUUGCAGAAGCACAUGAUUUCGCUACUUUUGAAGGCAAAAUUCAAUCUUCCGAAACAAAAUUUAACGAUUUGGUGGCUGAAUUGCAAAUGAUAAUAGCAUCCAGUUCGAACAAAUUUGUUAAAAUGGCUUGGCGAAAAGUUUUUACGGACGAUGUUGCCCAGAUAUAUUCCUGGAAAGGCACGAAGACGAAAAAACCGGCAAGAGCACUUAGUGUGACGGCAGCAUUAAGGCAGGCAUACCAUCAAAAAUUCCCUACCGCUGCCACGGAUAUGGAAUUCGAGCGGACUACAUUGAAUUUUUUUCCAACACGCCAGCAACAGAAUAAAAAAAAAAUUUAAUACGAAAACAAAAAGAAUAUGUCAUCGGUAAUCGUAGAUUAAUUAGUUCUUAUAUUAUUGCGCGACAAUUUUAAGUUUA
Bactrocera neohumeralis is the source of this 781-nucleotide long non-coding RNA. RefSeq lists it as uncharacterized. Lineage: Eukaryota; Metazoa; Arthropoda; Insecta; Diptera; Tephritidae. The transcript has 5 exons. The record is from RefSeq and is a predicted model, not a curated record.